AUUGAACGCUGGCGGCAUGCCUUACACAUGCAAGUCGAACGGCAGCACGGGGGCAACCCUGGUGGCGAGUGGCGAACGGGUGAGUAACAUAUCGGAACAUACCCUAGAGUGGGGGAUAACGUAGCGAAAGUUACGCUAAUACCGCAUACGAUCUAAGGAUGAAAAGUGGGGGGAUCUUCGGACCUCAUGCUCAUGGAGUGGCCGAUAUCUGAUUAGCUAGUUGGUGAGGUAAAGGCUCACCAAAGGCGACGAUCAGUAGCUGGUUUGAGAGAACGACCAGCCACACUGGAACUGAGACACGGUCCAGACUCCUACGGAGGCAGCAGUGGGGAAUUUUGGACAAUGGGGGCAACCCUGAUCCAGCAAUGCCGCGUGAGCGAAGAAG
This 385-nucleotide ribosomal RNA is filed under the name uncultured bacterium. RNAcentral describes it as "bacterial SSU rRNA". It matches the Rfam family "Bacterial small subunit ribosomal RNA", at positions 30 to 413 of the family's 1533-position model. The record is from RNAcentral.